AUGAAAGGGCUCGCCGACGAGCUCGAUGCUGCAGGCAAACCCCUCGACGAAGAUGACGUCGUCUCAUACAUCUUGGAAGGUCUCAUGCAUGAGCCCGACUACAACGGGUUCGUCACCGCCAACUCCACGCGCACCGUCACCGAUCAUCCGAUCGGCCUCAGCGAGUUGUUCUCCCUCCUGCUAUCCGCGGAAGCCAGGAUCACCGCCCAGCAUGCUGCCUACACCGCUCACCACUCCGCCAACCUCGCCGCAAAGGGUGGUCGCGGUGGCUACGGC
Molecule: ribosomal RNA, 276 nt
Filed under: Triticum aestivum (bread wheat)
Lineage: Eukaryota; Viridiplantae; Streptophyta; Magnoliopsida; Poales; Poaceae
Description: partial small subunit ribosomal RNA
Source: RNAcentral